GUGAACCCUCGAGGAGUUUGCAGUCGAUAAAAUCCAGAUUAAACUUCACCUUGAAUAUGAUGUGCCAAUAAGCUCCAGUUUGCUGCGGCUUUUCGCCCAUGGCAGUGGUCCUGCAAUCUAGAUCCAGGAGUUGCAGCUCUGAAUCUAAUAUUUCAGAAUGAAGAUAUGCAGAGUAAUACAGCCAGCAAGAGGAAACAAUGCAUUAGUAUCCAAGGGUGAAAUUCCAGUAUGUGAAAAGAAAAUCCAAGGGAGCUAACCCUUCUCACAUCACAAGAUUCCAAUGUGCCAAAAAGCUGCCAUAGCUGAGGUCAAGCAACGUGAAGUCGGGAGAGGCAGCACUGAUCUGAUUCAUGAGUCUGAUGCACAUAGAAUAUCCUAUCAUUUGCUGGAGGCCAUUAAUUCUGCAGACAUGAGUGAUUUGAUUGGAUUGCACAAUAUCUUAACUCCUACAUGAAUAACACUAUCUGAUUGGCCUAGAACGGUCACAUGCAUGAUGUGUAUAUUCCAUAAUAAUCCCUGUAACUUUCAACAUUUUCACAAUAUACUCAUAAUAUUACAAUUUAAUUGUACAUAUUAUAACACAUGAUAUGACAAUCAAAUUGUAUACAGUUGUACAGCAGCUAAUAAAAGCAAGUUAUUUUAUGAUAUACUCAUGAUAUUACAAUCACAUGACAGAUGACUUCCAGCCUUUUUAUAACAUUUACAAUCAAAGUGUACAUACCAGGAUAUUUUUGCUGAUUUUUACUUUAAAUCGUUGCUUCUGAUUAUUUGGUAAUUCCACCACAGGCGGUGUUGAUGAUUUUACUAAUUAUACCCCCGACAAACGAAGUUUGAAAGGGGUAUAUUGGAGUCGCCCUGUGGUCCGUCGGUCCGUCAGUUUGUAAGUCAGUCCGUUGCAAUUUACCUUGUCCGGAGCAUAACUUAAAAACAACUGGAUGGAAUUGGAUUAAACUUCAUAUAAUGGUAGAGCAUAAUGAGAGGAAGUGCAGUGUACAAUAACCAUAACUCUAUUCUUGCUUAUUACUGAGUUAUUGCCCUUUGUUACUUUUUUUGUCCAGACUCCAGAGUAUACAUUGAAAUGUACUGGAAUUCAUUGAAACUUCAUACAAUAGUAAAGCACAAUGAGAGGAAGUGCAGUGUUUAAGAACCAUAACUCUACUUUAGCUAAUUACUCAGUUAUUGCUCUUUAUUUGUUGUUUUUUUCCAGACAUUAACAGCAAAUCACUAGAUGGAAUUUAUUGAAACUUCAUACAAUGGUAAAGCACAAUAAGAGAAAGUGAAGUACACAAAAACCAUAACUCUAUUUUAGCUAAUUACAGAGUUACGGCCCUUUGUUACUUUUUCUUGUCUGGAGCGUAACUUGAAAACUAUUGGAUGGAAUUUAAUAAAACUUCAUACCGUGAUAAAUCAUAAUGAGAGGAAGUGCAGUGAACAGGAACCACAAUUCUAUUUCAGCUAAUUACAGAGUUGCUGCACUUUGUUACUUUUUUUGGA
Long non-coding RNA from Mya arenaria, 1494 nucleotides. RefSeq lists it as uncharacterized. The transcript has 4 exons. The record is from RefSeq and is a predicted model, not a curated record. Lineage: Eukaryota; Metazoa; Mollusca; Bivalvia; Myida; Myidae.